CAGGAACAUGGAAUAUCUUUCCAUGUCUUGACAUCUUCUUUAAUUUCCUUGAUUAAUGUUUUAUAGUUCUUGGCAUAUAGGUCCUUUGCCUCCUUGGUCAGUUGUAUUCCCAGGUAUUUGCUUUUUGGGAGUGCAAUUUUAAAAGGUAUUGUGUUUUUUUGUAUUCCUUUUCUAACACUUCAUUGUUAGUAUACAGAAAUGCUACUGAUUUCUGAAUGUUAAUCUUCUAUCCUGCUACUUUGCUGAGUUUGUUGAUCAGUUCAAGUAGUUUUGGGGUUGAGUCCUUAGGGUUUUCUAUGUAUAGUAUCAUGUCAUCUGCAUACAGUGACAGUUUUACCUGUUCUCUUCCUAUUUGGAUGCCUUUUAUUUCUUUUGUUUGUCUUAUUGCUGUGGCAAGGCCUUCCAGUACUAUGUUGAAUAACAGUGGUGAGAGUGGGCAUCCUUGUCUCGUUCCAGACUUGAGUGAGAAGGCUUUCAGCUUUUCUCCAUUGAGGAUUAUAUUUGCUGUGGGUUUAUCAUAAAUGGCUUUGAUUAUGUUCAGGUAUGUUCCCUCUCUACCCACUUUGGUGAGAGUUUUCAUCAUGAAUGGAUGUUGUACUUUGUCAAAGGCUUUUUCUGCAUCUAUUGAAACUAUAAUUUGGUUUUUGACUUUUCUUUUGUUAAUGUGGAGUAUGACAUUGAUUGAUUUGCGUAUGUUGAACCAACCUUGUGCACCUGGGAUGAAUCCCACCCGGUUGUGGUGUGUGAUCAUUUUGAUAUGUUUUUGGAUUCGGCUGGCUAAAAUUUUGCUGAGAAUUUUUGCAUCUAUAUGCAUCAAAGAUAAUGGCUGAUAGUUUUCUUUUUGGGGGUUAUCUUUGUCUGGUUUUGGAAUGAGGGUGAUGGUGGCAUCAUAAAAUGUCUUUGGGAGUGUUCCUUCUUCUUCAACCUUUUGAAAAAGUUUAAGGAGAAUGGGUAUUAGUUCUUCUUUGUAUGUUUGGUGGAAUUCUCCUGUAAGCCAUCUGGUCCUGGACUUUUAUUUGUAGGAAGUGUUUUUAUGGCGUAUUCAAUUUCAUUUCUAGCGAUUGGUCUGUUCAGUUGAUCUAUUUCUAUUUGAUUCAGUUUUGUCAGGCUAUAAGACUAGCAAGUUGUCCAUUUCUUCCACAUUAUUGGAAUGGUUUAACAUACUUAAAAAACAGGGCAAGCACAAAUCAAAACCAAACAUUUUAUUCACUAAAAAUCAAAAGCAAAGUACUCAAGCAGAAAAUAAAUGGAAACCAUCCAACCAAAAAAAUAAAGGAGCUAUGGAGAAUCAUGGAAUCAACUGGAAAACGAGGUUUAAAAUGUCAAUAAAUGUAUAUCUAUCAAUUAUCACCUUAAAUGUCAAUGUAUUUAAUGCUCCAGUCAAGAGACAUAGAGUUGCUGGUUGGGCAAAAAAGCAAAACCCUUCAAUCUGCUGCCUACAAGAAACUCACCUUAGGACAAAGGACACAUAUAGAUUGAAAGUGAGGGGGUGGUAAAAGAUAUUUCAUGCCAAUGGACAAGAUAGGAAAGCAGGAGUUUCAAUACUAAUAUCAGACAAAAUAGACUUUAAAAUGAUGGCCAUUGAGAAAGACAAAGAAGGACACUAUUUAAUGGUUAAAGGAUCCAUUCAAGAAUAGGAUAUUACAAUGUCAACAUAUAUUCCCCAAAUAUAGGAGCACCCAGAUACAUACACGAAAUAUUAACAGAAAUAAAAGGAGAAAUUGAUUGGAAUACAAUCAUAGUAGGAGAUUUUAACACCCCACUCACAUCAAUGGACAGAUCCUCUAGAUAAAAUCAAUAAAGCAACAGAGAACCUAAGAGAAACAAUAGAAAUGUUAGACUUAAUUGACAUUUUCAGGGCAUUACAUCCAAAAAAAUCAGAAUACACAUUCUUCUCAAGUGCACAUGGAACAUUCUCAAGAAUUGAUCAUAUAUUGUGGCACAAAGCUAACCUCAACAAAUUUAAGUGUAUAGAAGUUAUUUCAAGUAUCUUCUCUGACCCAAUGGCAUGAAACUAGAAAUCAACCAGGAAAAGAAAUGAGAAAAAAACCUACUACAUGAAGACUAAACAACGUGCUACUAAAAAACCAAUGGGUCAAUGAGGAAAUCAAGAAAGAAGUUAAAAAAUACCUUGAGGCAAAUGGUAAUGAAGACACAACCUCUCAAAAUCUAUGGGCCACCACAAAAGCAGUGCUCAGAGGGAAGUUCAUACCAAUACAGGCCUUCCUCAAAAAAGAAGAAAGGUCUCAAAUUUACAACUUAUCCCACUACCUAAAUGAAUUAGAAAAAAAAAAAAAAAAAAAAAA
This 2306-nucleotide long non-coding RNA is filed under the name Sus scrofa (pig). RNAcentral's name for it is "lncRNA (ENSSSCG00055021067.1)". Lineage: Eukaryota; Metazoa; Chordata; Mammalia; Artiodactyla; Suidae. The record is from RNAcentral.